UACAGAGGUGGCAAGCGUUGUUCGGAAUUACUGGGCGUAAAGGGCGCGUAGGCGGUCUUUUAAGUUCCGUGUGAAAUCCCUCGGCUCAACUGGGGAACGGCACGGGAAACUGGAAGGCUUGAGUUCGGGAGAGGGAAGCGGAAUUCCGGGUGUAGCGGUGAAAUGCGUAGAUAUCUGGAGGAAUACCGGUGGCGAAGGCGGCAUCCUGGACCGAGAUUGACACUGAUGAGCGAAAGCUAGGGGAGCAAACGGG
Molecule: ribosomal RNA, 253 nt
Filed under: uncultured bacterium
Lineage: Bacteria
Description: partial 16S ribosomal RNA
Rfam family: Bacterial small subunit ribosomal RNA
Source: RNAcentral